Long non-coding RNA from Phasianus colchicus (ring-necked pheasant), 394 nucleotides. RefSeq lists it as uncharacterized. The record is from RefSeq and is a predicted model, not a curated record. Lineage: Eukaryota; Metazoa; Chordata; Aves; Galliformes; Phasianidae.
CAUACCUGCAGCACUGGCGGCCGCUCACUCCGUACCUGCACACCUUCUCCAGACAGGGCUGAGCAGGCCUGGAUCUGCCACUCUCGGUCCCGGCACUGGUGAGUCUCAAUUUGCCGUGAGGUCUCCACGACCCAAGGGGGAGAUGGGAACCCUUGAAGCUACAUCUGCCCUGAGGAGAACUGGAGCCGCACUCAGCAUUGCCUGAGGGACAGAACGCUCCUGGCACCCAGAGCACCUUGGGCAAAGGGCAGCUACUGUCUGGCGCCCACGCCUCUUUUCCUGGCAGAGUGGUGUCAGCAUGGCCUCAGCUGACACUGUCUCACCUUCCAUUCUUUGCUUUGCUUUCCAGCUUUACAUCUCCCAGUUCACUACCUGAGUAAAUGGCUUUCUUACA